Molecule: ribosomal RNA, 253 nt
Filed under: uncultured bacterium
Lineage: Bacteria
Description: partial 16S ribosomal RNA
Rfam family: Bacterial small subunit ribosomal RNA
Source: RNAcentral
UACGUAGGGGGCAAGCGUUAUCCGGAUUUACUGGGUGUAAAGGGAGCGUAGACGGCGAUGCAAGCCAGAUGUGAAAGCCCGGGGCUCAACCCCGGGACUGCAUUUGGAACUGUAUAGCUAGAGUGUCGGAGAGGCAGGCGGAAUUCCUAGUGUAGCGGUGAAAUGCGUAGAUAUUAGGAGGAACACCAGUGGCGAAGGCGGCUUACUGGACUGUAACUGACGUUGAGGCUCGAAAGCGUGGGGAGCAAACAGG